RNAcentral lists this ribosomal RNA (1485 nucleotides) under Limosilactobacillus fermentum. RNAcentral's name for it is "bacterial SSU rRNA". It matches the Rfam family "Bacterial small subunit ribosomal RNA". The record is from RNAcentral. Lineage: Bacteria; Bacillati; Bacillota; Bacilli; Lactobacillales; Lactobacillaceae.
AGGGCGGGCGGUGUGCUAUACAUGCAAGUCGACGCGUUGGCCCAAUUGAUUGAUGGUGCUUGCACCUGAUUGAUUUUGGUCGCCAACGAGUGGCGGACGGGUGAGUAACACGUAGGUAACCUGCCCAGAAGCGGGGGACAACAUUUGGAAACAGAUGCUAAUACCGCAUAACAGCGUUGUUCGCAUGAACAACGCUUAAAAGAUGGCUUCUCGCUAUCACUUCUGGAUGGACCUGCGGUGCAUUAGCUUGUUGGUGGGGUAACGGCCUACCAAGGCGAUGAUGCAUAGCCGAGUUGAGAGACUGAUCGGCCACAAUGGGACUGAGACACGGCCCAUACUCCUACGGGAGGCAGCAGUAGGGAAUCUUCCACAAUGGGCGCAAGCCUGAUGGAGCAACACCGCGUGAGUGAAGAAGGGUUUCGGCUCGUAAAGCUCUGUUGUUAAAGAAGAACACGUAUGAGAGUAACUGUUCAUACGUUGACGGUAUUUAACCAGAAAGUCACGGCUAACUACGUGCCAGCAGCCGCGGUAAUACGUAGGUGGCAAGCGUUAUCCGGAUUUAUUGGGCGUAAAGAGAGUGCAGGCGGUUUUCUAAGUCUGAUGUGAAAGCCUUCGGCUUAACCGGAGAAGUGCAUCGGAAACUGGAUAACUUGAGUGCAGAAGAGGGUAGUGGAACUCCAUGUGUAGCGGUGGAAUGCGUAGAUAUAUGGAAGAACACCAGUGGCGAAGGCGGCUACCUGGUCUGCAACUGACGCUGAGACUCGAAAGCAUGGGUAGCGAACAGGAUUAGAUACCCUGGUAGUCCAUGCCGUAAACGAUGAGUGCUAGGUGUUGGAGGGUUUCCGCCCUUCAGUGCCGGAGCUAACGCAUUAAGCACUCCGCCUGGGGAGUACGACCGCAAGGUUGAAACUCAAAGGAAUUGACGGGGGCCCGCACAAGCGGUGGAGCAUGUGGUUUAAUUCGAAGCUACGCGAAGAACCUUACCAGGUCUUGACAUCUUGCGCCAACCCUAGAGAUAGGGCGUUUCCUUCGGGAACGCAAUGACAGGUGGUGCAUGGUCGUCGUCAGCUCGUGUCGUGAGAUGUUGGGUUAAGUCCCGCAACGAGCGCAACCCUUGUUACUAGUUGCCAGCAUUAAGUUGGGCACUCUAGUGAGACUGCCGGUGACAAACCGGAGGAAGGUGGGGACGACGUCAGAUCAUCAUGCCCCUUAUGACCUGGGCUACACACGUGCUACAAUGGACGGUACAACGAGUCGCGAACUCGCGAGGGCAAGCAAAUCUCUUAAAACCGUUCUCAGUUCGGACUGCAGGCUGCAACUCGCCUGCACGAAGUCGGAAUCGCUAGUAAUCGCGGAUCAGCAUGCCGCGGUGAAUACGUUCCCGGGCCUUGUACACACCGCCCGUCACACCAUGAGAGUUUGUAACACCCAAAGUCGGUGGGGUAACCUUUUAGGAGCCAGCCGCCUAAGGUGGACAGAGAUUGA